GGUGCAUAUGUUUCUUGAGAACCAGAGAGAAAUUAUAAUCUACACUAAUGUAAAUACCAGUAAAAAUCAUGAAGAAUAUUUGCAUCUUCAUUGAUUGGGCACAGUAAUACAGAGGAAAAGAAGUGCUAACAAAGAAAUGGAAAACAAAACUAUGGUAAAGCAAAAUUGCAGGGUCAGGUCAAGCCUAGUAAAGCCUUAAGCAUAUGUUCUGGUCCAAUUGUUUGUUUCUCUUCUCAAACUUCAUUGUAUAUAUUAGAUAAGUAAAUGAAUUCCGUAGAAUAUAGAAAUUGGCGCAAACACUUCGCAAACAAGAAAGAGGGAAAACGAC
This 328-nucleotide unclassified non-coding RNA is filed under the name Hevea brasiliensis (rubber tree). Lineage: Eukaryota; Viridiplantae; Streptophyta; Magnoliopsida; Malpighiales; Euphorbiaceae. The record is from RNAcentral.